GGGUUGUGAGGUUAAGCGACUAAGCGUACACGGUGGAUGCCCUGGCAGUCAGAGGCGAUGAAGGGCGUGCUAAUCUGCGAUAAGCGCCGGUAAGGUGAUAUGAACCAUUAUAACCGGCGAUACCCGAAUGGGGAAACCCAGUGUGUUUCGACACACUAUCAUUAACUGAAUCCAUAGGUUAAUGAGGCGAACCGGGGGAACUGAAACAUCUAAGUACCCCGAGGAAAAGAAAUCAACCGAGAUUCCCCCAGUAGCGGCGAGCGAACGGGGAGGAGCCCAGAGCCUGAAUCAGCAUGUGUGUUAGUGGAAGCGUCUGGAAAGGCGCGCGAUACAGGGUGACAGCCCCGUACACAAAAGCGCAUGUGCUGUGAGCUCGAUGAGUAGGGCGGGACACGUGGUAUCCUGUCUGAAUAUGGGGGGACCAUCCUCCAAGGCUAAAUACUCCUGACUGACCGAUAGUGAACCAGUACCGUGAGGGAAAGGCGAAAAGAACCCCGGCGAGGGGAGUGAAAAAGAACCUGAAACCGUGUACGUACAAGCAGUGGGAGCACCCUUUGGGGUGUGACUGCGUACCUUUUGUAUAAUGGGUCAGCGACUUAUAUUCUGUAGCAAGGUUAACCGAAUAGGGGAGCCGGAGGGAAACCGAGUCUUAAUUGGGCGUUAAGUUGCAGGGUAUAGACCCGAAACCCGGUGAUCUAGCCAUGGGCAGGUUGAAGGUUGGGUAACACUAACUGGAGGACCGAACCGACUAAUGUUGAAAAAUUAGCGGAUGACCUGUGGCUGGGGGUGAAAGGCCAAUCAAACCGGGAGAUAGCUGGUUCUCCCCGAAAGCUAUUUAGGUAGCGCCUCGUGAAUUCAUCUCCGGGGGUAGAGCACUGUUUCGGCUAGGGGGCCAUCCCGGCUUACCAACCCGAUGCAAACUGCGAAUACCGGAGAAUGUUAUCACGGGAGACACACGGCGGGUGCUAACGUCCGUCGUGAAGAGGGAAACAACCCAGACCGCCAGCUAAGGUCCCAAAGUCAUGGUUAAGUGGGAAACGAUGUGGGAAGGCCCAGACAGCCAGGAUGUUGGCUUAGAAGCAGCCAUCAUUUAAAGAAAGCGUAAUAGCUCACUGGUCGAGUCGGCCUGCGCGGAAGAUGUAACGGGGCUAAACCAUGCACCGAAGCUGCGGCAGCGACACUAUGUGUUGUUGGGUAGGGGAGCGUUCUGUAAGCCUGUGAAGGUGGCCUGUGAGGGUUGCUGGAGGUAUCAGAAGUGCGAAUGCUGACAUAAGUAACGAUAAAGCGGGUGAAAAGCCCGCUCGCCGGAAGACCAAGGGUUCCUGUCCAACGUUAAUCGGGGCAGGGUGAGUCGACCCCUAAGGCGAGGCCGAAAGGCGUAGUCGAUGGGAAACGGGUUAAUAUUCCCGUACUUGGUGUUACUGCGAAGGGGGGACGGAGAAGGCUAUGUUGGCCGGGCGACGGUUGUCCCGGUUUAAGCGUGUAGGUGUGUGUUCCAGGUAAAUCCGGUUCACUUUAACACUGAGGCGUGAUGACGAGGCACUACGGUGCUGAAGCAACAAAUGCCCUGCUUCCAGGAAAAGCCUCUAAGCAUCAGGUAACAUCAAAUCGUACCCCAAACCGACACAGGUGGUCAGGUAGAGAAUACCAAGGCGCUUGAGAGAACUCGGGUGAAGGAACUAGGCAAAAUGGUGCCGUAACUUCGGGAGAAGGCACGCUGACACGUAGGUGAAGUGAUUUACUCAUGGAGCUGAAGUCAGUCGAAGAUACCAGCUGGCUGCAACUGUUUAUUAAAAACACAGCACUGUGCAAACACGAAAGUGGACGUAUACGGUGUGACGCCUGCCCGGUGCCGGAAGGUUAAUUGAUGGGGUCAGCGCAAGCGAAGCUCCUGAUCGAAGCCCCGGUAAACGGCGGCCGUAACUAUAACGGUCCUAAGGUAGCGAAAUUCCUUGUCGGGUAAGUUCCGACCUGCACGAAUGGCGUAAUGAUGGCCAGGCUGUCUCCACCCGAGACUCAGUGAAAUUGAACUCGCUGUGAAGAUGCAGUGUACCCGCGGCAAGACGGAAAGACCCCGUGAACCUUUACUAUAGCUUGACACUGAACAUUGAGCCUUGAUGUGUAGGAUAGGUGGGAGGCUUUGAAGUGUGGACGCCAGUCUGCAUGGAGCCGGCCUUGAAAUACCACCCUUUAAUGUUUGAUGUUCUAACGUGGACCCGUGAUCCGGGUUGCGGACAGUGUCUGGUGGGUAGUUUGACUGGGGCGGUCUCCUCCUAAAGAGUAACGGAGGAGCACGAAGGUUGGCUAAUCCUGGUCGGACAUCAGGAGGUUAGUGCAAUGGCAUAAGCCAGCUUGACUGCGAGCGUGACGGCGCGAGCAGGUGCGAAAGCAGGUCAUAGUGAUCCGGUGGUUCUGAAUGGAAGGGCCAUCGCUCAACGGAUAAAAGGUACUCCGGGGAUAACAGGCUGAUACCGCCCAAGAGUUCAUAUCGACGGCGGUGUUUGGCACCUCGAUGUCGGCUCAUCACAUCCUGGGGCUGAAGUAGGUCCCAAGGGUAUGGCUGUUCGCCAUUUAAAGUGGUACGCGAGCUGGGUUUAGAACGUCGUGAGACAGUUCGGUCCCUAUCUGCCGUGGGCGCUGGAGAACUGAGGGGGGCUGCUCCUAGUACGAGAGGACCGGAGUGGACGCAUCACUGGUGUUCGGGUUGUCAUGCCAAUGGCACUGCCCGGUAGCUAAAUGCGGAAGAGAUAAGUGCUGAAAGCAUCUAAGCACGAAACUUGCCCCGAGAUGAGUUCUCCCUGAGACUUAGAGUCUCCUGAAGGAACGUUGAAGACGACGACGUUGAUAGGCCGGGUGUGUAAGCGCAGCGAUGCGUUGAGCUAACCGGUACUAAUGAACCGUGAGGCUUAACCUUACAACGCCGAAG
Molecule: ribosomal RNA, 2926 nt
Filed under: Salmonella enterica subsp. enterica serovar Schwarzengrund
Lineage: Bacteria; Pseudomonadati; Pseudomonadota; Gammaproteobacteria; Enterobacterales; Enterobacteriaceae
Description: 23S ribosomal RNA
Rfam family: Bacterial large subunit ribosomal RNA
Source: RNAcentral